CGAACGGGUGAGUAACGCGUGAGGAACCUGCCUCAAAGAGGGGGACAACAGUUGGAAACGACUGCUAAUACCGCAUAAGCCCACGGCUCGGCAUCGAGCAGAGGGAAAAGGAGCAAUCCGCUUUGAGAUGGCCUCGCGUCCGAUUAGCUAGUUGGUGAGGUAACGGCCCACCAAGGCGACGAUCGGUAGCCGGACUGGGAGGUUGAACGGCUACAUUGGGACUGAGACACGGCCCAG
This 237-nucleotide ribosomal RNA is filed under the name uncultured bacterium. RNAcentral describes it as "partial 16S ribosomal RNA". It matches the Rfam family "Bacterial small subunit ribosomal RNA", at positions 99 to 334 of the family's 1533-position model. The record is from RNAcentral.